This 462-nucleotide ribosomal RNA is filed under the name Semisulcospira libertina. RNAcentral describes it as "partial 16S ribosomal RNA". Lineage: Eukaryota; Metazoa; Mollusca; Gastropoda; Semisulcospiridae. The record is from RNAcentral.
AAAAUUUCAUUCGCACUAGCGAUACUAGUUUCCCCGGAAAGAUAUAAAAGUAUCGAGGAAAAGCUUGAUUUAUAAUAUUAAUCAUUAUAUAUACACAUACUUUUUCAUUAACUUUUUUGAGGAUAAGCUCAGAAAAAAAUUAAGAUGUUUUUCAUAAAAAUUACCGUGUGGGCUUAAGAUUGGCCACCAUAAAAGUUUGUUAUAGGAUAGUAACCCUAAUUUAAAAAAAUAAAUAUAUUUUAAUCUAAAUUCUUACGGGGAUAAGAACUCUAACUAAAAUUGAGCUCUAUGCCUAUGCUAGAAUGAGUAUUAAAACCUAACUUACAAAAGAAAUACUGUUUUCUCCAAAAAAGUUUUUAAAAAAAUUAAUUAAUUAGAAGGAAUUCGGCAAGUUUAGUUCUCCGCCUGUUUAUCAAAAACAUGGCUCUUUGCUUAUAUAAAUAUAAAGAGUCGAGCCUGCCC